GCUGAGCGCUAACUUCUAUUCCACCGAGGCAGACAGCGAAAACCAUUUCAGAACCAUGGCAAGGCAUGAGAGAAGCACAGACCAUUGUUGACCAUGAGUAAUUGAAACGAC
RNAcentral lists this long non-coding RNA (111 nucleotides) under Callithrix jacchus (white-tufted-ear marmoset). RNAcentral's name for it is "lncRNA (ENSCJAG00000080490.1)". Lineage: Eukaryota; Metazoa; Chordata; Mammalia; Primates; Cebidae. The record is from RNAcentral.